Marmota monax (woodchuck) is the source of this 3275-nucleotide long non-coding RNA. RefSeq lists it as uncharacterized. NCBI's taxonomy places the organism in Eukaryota, Metazoa, Chordata, Mammalia, Rodentia, Sciuridae. The record is from RefSeq and is a predicted model, not a curated record. The transcript has 5 exons.
GCAAAAAAGCCCUCUGGGACUUCUUUCCUUUCAGUUUUAUUAUUGCUCCUGAAAAAAAGCAGAGAAGCUGCUCUAGCUAAGCUUGUUGAAUCUGGAAGGUGGAGUCUCCUUCCUGAAAGGACUGGAUAAGGUGUAUUCUGCAGUUAGGCACAGUGGACCCUGGAAUCUGCUUGACUUCCAGAGGAUCAGUUGACCUGUGGGAAGCCAGCUGCAAUGUUGUGAGACAACCAUGUGGAGAGGCUCCCAGAGGGACUGAGGCAAGCCAACAACCACAUGACUGCUGACUUUUGGACCAUUUGUUAUGCAAGAAUAGAUCAAAGCAAAGAAGAGAACUGAGAUGCUGUCAUGGAAAGGAAAAAGGAAACAUAUAGCUGGUCAUGUCAGCCAAAUAAAUUCCCGACACUGUGUUAGAUACUAUACUGGACACAAAAGAAAUCCUGGCCCCAGUGCACUUCUGAACCAGCUGGAGACUCAAGCUCUAUGUGCAUGAACAACUAGAGAAAGGCUCCAGAAAGGAUGGUGUGCCUGAUGGACACAAUGCGGUGCUGAGGAUCGAACCCAGUGCCUUACAUGUGCCAGGCAGGUGCUCUACCACUGAGUUACAAACCCAGGCCCUACAUAUGGAUUCGCCCUACAUAUGGAUUCUUUAUCAUUUGUCAAGACUUGCUUCAUUGUCCAGCACAGGAAUUUGGCAAACUUUUUGGGUAAAGCACCAUAUAAUAUGUAGAUGUUGGGUUUGCAGAGCAUUAAGGCCACUGUUGUUAUGGUUCUACUCUGCUGUUGUGCUGUGAGGCAGCCUUGGGCAAUGGAUGUAGAUGGUAAUGGCUUUGUACUGAUACAUUUAAUCUACAGAAACUCAUCCUGGUUGGAUUUGGCCCCUGUGCCAUAGGAUAUAGUGAAUUUUUAAAAAUGUCUCAGGGUUUUUGAAAACCCUGAGAUUCCAAAGUAUGAUCAUAGACAAACUUGUUAUGUUUUUUGAAAUCUGUUCUGUUUAUGAUUUUUUUGUGCUUUAUCAGUUAAAAGGUAUGUAUUAACAUCUUCUCAUUUUGAAUUUGUCCAUAUUUUCUAGUGAUUCUACAUAUUUCAUUAUUUUAUCUGGCACAUGCAAGUUCAAAUGGUGAAGGCUUCCUGCUGAAUUGUUCCUUUUAUCAUUUUGUUCUGAUUGUUUAAAAAAAUUACAUCUAGUUUAAUUUAGUUCAAUUUCACUUUGAGGGGGUCGUUCUCUAUUUUUAGAAGUGAUCAUUUGUUUUCUGGGAAAGCAAUGCUAUACAAUCUGAAAAAGUAAUGCUGGAUACACAGCUGUACUUAAACAGUCUAAAGUGUUUUGCUAAAAUUACUCAUCUCUAGGAGCCAGAAUGUUUUAUUUGGCUAGGAGAACCAGCACUGGGAACUACUCUUCAAGAACCCUGUUCCCAGCUCAUUAAGAGACUCCCACCAGCAUUACUGAGAAAGAACACAAUUCCCACAUCGAAAGAACAGGGCCCUGAGACUGAACUCUGUGAAGGCCGCAAGGCCAUGCUAGUAACACAGAGCAUAGGGGAGGACAGGCAGUGAGCAGCCUGGCCAUGGAAGAAGAGGCUCAUGAUUGGACUCGACCUUUACUAACAGGUUGUGCAGUGGAGGAAGGAAGCUGUUUCUUCAUUGUUCUGUUCACUUUGCAAAAUAAUUACUAGUUAUACCAUGACUAAAACAGAAGGUUUUAUAAUCCAUUCGGCCACCCCUGAAAAGAAUCACAAUGUCUUUAAGUGUAUUUCUCACUCUAAUUAUUCAGAACACCCGCUCUCUAUUCUUGUUGUCUCUCUGUUUUUAUCAGAAUCUUACCUCUAACCUCCAAAAUUCAGCUCAAGUUUCACCUCUGUGAAGACUCCAAAUGCAGAAACAAGAUUAUCUGAGGGCUAAAAUGCAGCAAGCAGUUGCAACUUUCAAUGAGAAAGGAAAAUGUAGAGAAAAGGUGAUCAGGGCCUGUGAAAAUGAAGGAUUCAGGGAAGGAGAUGGCAGAAAGGAAAGCAUAUUCAACUCCAAGUUUGUUGUGCCCAAUACGGGGCAUCUAGUUGCUGUGAGGGGCUUCUCAGAGAAGCUCAGGCAGGCAGGCCCUUCAGUUUCUGGGUCUUUGCUGGCUAUGCAGGUCUAGGUCUAGUUGCUGGGAUACUGGAACACUCAGUCUUUCUUAGGCUUGUGGUGGUUUAUCACGCUGUAUGUUAGUUGAACUUGUGCUCUCCAGUUUUGUUUUGUUUUCCUGGCUAUCAAGUUUUCCUCAUUUGCCUUUUCACUCUCUUACAUAUAGCAAGAAACUGGGCAUGAUUUAACCUCUUCUAUCUCUCAAAAUCCUUAGGAUCUCUUCUCCCUGUCUCCAAAUUUUUUUAAAAAAUCAAAUGCUUCUGGUUAAGUCUAUGUGUGUUGGUUUUAUCAGAAGUUUUAGAAUCACUCUGAGCUGUAAUGAGGAGUGGGGUGAUCCUUUAAUUUUGCCAUUUCUAAUAGUAAUGGGUACAAUCUAAUCUACAUUCCAAUAACACUCCUGUUUUCAUAGCUGAGGAUGUCCCUAGCAACACAUCUUGAGUUUUGCUUACAAAAUAUGCUGCCAGUUCCCAGAGGCAACUUUAAAGUAAAAAAAUUUGGAACAGGAUGGCAAAACAUGACCUGUGGUCACUUUAUGAGUCCUGACACUCUGAUAAAGGUAAAGCACUAAGAUCAACAAGACCACCUCAACAGCACUUGACUGAAGAAAAGUGUUUUCCCUUCUUUUUGUCAGGAGGUUGAAUACUAUAAAAUUUCUCUUGCUACUUUCAAGUCAGCAGAACUAAAUCUUAAAGGUUAUUUUGUAUAAGUCUGACUACUCAAUUUUAAGUGUUACCACAUUUACUUAAAAUGCACACAGGAAAGUCUCCUCAGGAAGGGCCAUGAACCUGACCCUUGAUUCGAAUGCUGGGACUUAGGCCUGAACAGUGACAGUGGGAAGGACCUCUUAUGUCAAAAAUUGGUGCCUUGGGACCUCCCCUACCAUGUUACAGAAAGGAUGCAUGGAUUGUGUUGACAUCAGGGAACAGCUUUGCAGAUAGGAACACUACCUGCUUGCUGUCUGGUCUUACAAUAAGGUAUUCCUUCUCCCCUUUGAUCUUAUUUUAUUUUUAGCUUAAAGAAAAAGCAAAGAUAAGUUGGUUUAGGUGACAUGAACACAACUUCAGUCUUGAGUGUUAAACCUUGACCCUUCUCCCUCUCUAGUUUUAAAUUUUGGAACAUUUACAUAUUUGGGGCCAGUUUUCAAACUAUGAGUAAUU